Molecule: ribosomal RNA, 525 nt
Filed under: uncultured metazoan
Lineage: Eukaryota; Metazoa
Description: SSU rRNA
Rfam family: Eukaryotic small subunit ribosomal RNA
Source: RNAcentral
UGGUCAUAUGCUUGUUUCAAAGACUAAGCCAUGCAUGUCUAAGCACAGCUUGUAAAAGUGAAGCCGCGAAUAGCUCAUUACAACAGCCGUUGUUUAUUGGAUCUCCAUUCUCUACUUGGAUAACUGUGGUAAUUCUAGAGCUAAUACAUGCGACCAAGGCCUGAACUUACGUGAUGGCUGCAUUUAUUAGAACAAGACCAACCGGCUUCGGCCGUUCUCUGGUGACUCUGAAUAACUGAGUGAAUCACGUGGUCUAGCACCGGUGAUGUAUCUUUCAAGUGUCUGCCUUAUCAACUUUCGAUGGUAGUUUAUGUGCCUACCAUGGUUGUAACGGGUAACGGAGAAUAAGGGUUUGACUCCGGAGAGGGAGCCUGAGAAACGGCUACCACUUCUAAGGAAGGCAGCAGGCGCGCAAAUUACCCAUUCUCGGCACGAGGAGGUAGUGACGAAAAAUACCAAGCUGGGAUCCAUUGGGUUCCGGCAUUGGAAUGAGAACAAUAUAAAUCUUUUAACGAGGAUCUAGUG